This 934-nucleotide ribosomal RNA is filed under the name Klebsiella pneumoniae. Its description in RNAcentral is "bacterial SSU rRNA". It matches the Rfam family "Bacterial small subunit ribosomal RNA", at positions 34 to 959 of the family's 1533-position model. The record is from RNAcentral. Lineage: Bacteria; Pseudomonadati; Pseudomonadota; Gammaproteobacteria; Enterobacterales; Enterobacteriaceae.
CGCUGGCGGCAGGCCUAACACAUGCAAGUCGAGCGGUAGCACAGAGAGCUUGCUCUCGGGUGACGAGCGGCGGACGGGUGAGUAAUGUCUGGGAAACUGCCUGAUGGAGGGGGAUAACUACUGGAAACGGUAGCUAAUACCGCAUAACGUCGCAAGACCAAAGUGGGGGACCUUCGGGCCUCAUGCCAUCAGAUGUGCCCAGAUGGGAUUAGCUAGUAGGUGGGGUAACGGCUCACCUAGGCGACGAUCCCUAGCUGGUCUGAGAGGAUGACCAGCCACACUGGAACUGAGACACGGUCCAGACUCCUACGGGAGGCAGCAGUGGGGAAUAUUGCACAAUGGGCGCAAGCCUGAUGCAGCCAUGCCGCGUGUGUGAAGAAGGCCUUCGGGUUGUAAAGCACUUUCAGCGGGGAGGAAGGCGGUGAGGUUAAUAACCUCGUCGAUUGACGUUACCCGCAGAAGAAGCACCGGCUAACUCCGUGCCAGCAGCCGCGGUAAUACGGAGGGUGCAAGCGUUAAUCGGAAUUACUGGGCGUAAAGCGCACGCAGGCGGUCUGUCAAGUCGGAUGUGAAAUCCCCGGGCUCAACCUGGGAACUGCAUUCGAAACUGGCAGGCUAGAGUCUUGUAGAGGGGGGUAGAAUUCCAGGUGUAGCGGUGAAAUGCGUAGAGAUCUGGAGGAAUACCGGUGGCGAAGGCGGCCCCCUGGACAAAGACUGACGCUCAGGUGCGAAAGCGUGGGGAGCAAACAGGAUUAGAUACCCUGGUAGUCCACGCCGUAAACGAUGUCGAUUUGGAGGUUGUGCCCUUGAGGCGUGGCUUCCGGAGCUAACGCGUUAAAUCGACCGCCUGGGGAGUACGGCCGCAAGGUUAAAACUCAAAUGAAUUGACGGGGGCCCGCACAAGCGGUGGAGCAUGUGGUUUAAUUCGAUGCAA